This 523-nucleotide ribosomal RNA is filed under the name uncultured bacterium. RNAcentral's name for it is "bacterial SSU rRNA". It matches the Rfam family "Bacterial small subunit ribosomal RNA", at positions 28 to 531 of the family's 1533-position model. The record is from RNAcentral.
GGCUAACGCUGGCGGCGUGUCUUAGCCAUGCAAGUCGAGCGGACUUAUGGGGUAACUUAUAAGUCAGCGGCGGACGGCGGAGUAACACGUAGCUAACCUACCCUCUGGACGGGGAUAACCUACCGAAAGGUGGGCUAAUACCCGAUGUAGUCAUCCUGUAUAGGGGUGAUGAAAGGUGGGCUUCUGUUUACAAGCUCAUGCUGGAGGAGGGGGCUGCGGCCUAUCAGGUAGUUGGUAGGGUAAUAGCCUACCAAGCCGAUGACGGGUAGCCGGCCUGAGAGGGUGACCGGCCCGAGGGGCACUGAGAUACGGGUCCCACUCCUACGGGAGCAGCAGGCUAGAAAUUUGGGCAAUGGGGGAAACCCUGACCCAGUGACGCCGCGUGCAGGAAGGAGCCCUUCGGGGUGUAAACUGCUGUCGUGUAGGGAGAAGGGUACUAAGGUGAACAAUCUUAGUACUUGACGGUACUACAGGAGGAAGCCCAGGCUAACCUCGUGCCAGCAGCCGCGGUAAGUAGCGUACU